Molecule: long non-coding RNA, 257 nt
Filed under: Lathyrus oleraceus (garden pea)
Lineage: Eukaryota; Viridiplantae; Streptophyta; Magnoliopsida; Fabales; Fabaceae
Description: Pisum sativum (pea) long non-coding RNA (PSAT_LNC026022)
Source: RNAcentral
AAAAACAAAUAUAAUAAUUAAUUAAAUGAUAAAAAUAAAUGAUUUUGGAGAAUAUGACUUGUUAUAUCUAUUUAUUUAAUCUUAAUAAGAAUUUACUUAAUGGAUUAAUAAUAAUCAAAUAAAUUAAAAAUUAAAAUAAAUUUAAUAUAUAACAAAAGAAAAAGAAAAAGAAAAAAACUAAUAGAAAAUAUUUUUUAGAAAUUAUCAAUUUAUUUUUUCAAUAAUGUAAAUGUAAUUUAAAUCAAACAAGAGUAAAU